This 266-nucleotide long non-coding RNA is filed under the name Olea europaea (common olive). RNAcentral describes it as "long non-coding RNA (OEUR_LNC007757)". Lineage: Eukaryota; Viridiplantae; Streptophyta; Magnoliopsida; Lamiales; Oleaceae. The record is from RNAcentral.
CAACUUAUAUAUUUUCUUUACAACAAAUAACUCAAGAUAUAUGUGAUUCAGUUAUGACCAUUGAGGAAGGAAACAUUGAAGAUAUGACAUUGGUAUCCCUAGCUGAUUCAAGAGAAGUAGUAGAGGGAAAUGUUUAAUAUAAAGUAUUGAAAUUAGACAAGAAGGAGUAUGUGAUAAAGUGUUCACAUAAUAAUUGCAAGUGGAUAUUUAGAUCUUCAUAUUGCGGAAAAACAAAAAUGUUUAAGAUCAGGAAAAUAUGUAAUGGU